ACGAACGCUGGCGGCGUGCCUAAUACAUGCAAGUAGAACGCUGAAGGAGGAGCUUGCUUCUCUGGAUGAGUUGCGAACGGGUGAGUAACGCGUAGGUAACCUGCCUGGUAGCGGGGGAUAACUAUUGGAAACGAUAGCUAAUACCGCAUAAGAGUAGAUGUUGCAUGACAUUUACUUAAAAGGUGCAAUUGCAUCACUACCAGAUGGACCUGCGUUGUAUUAGCUAGUUGGUGAGGUAACGGCUCACCAAGGCAACGAUACAUAGCCGACCUGAGAGGGUGAUCGGCCACACUGGGACUGAGACACGGCCCAGACUCCUACGGGAGGCAGCAGUAGGGAAUCUUCGGCAAUGGACGGAAGUCUGACCGAGCAACGCCGCGUGAGUGAAGAAGGUUUUCGGAUCGUAAAGCUCGGUUGUAAGAGAAGAACGAGUGUGAGUGUGGAAAGUUCACACUGUGACGGUAUCUUACCAGAAAGGGACGGCUAACUACGUG
This 494-nucleotide ribosomal RNA is filed under the name uncultured bacterium. Its description in RNAcentral is "partial 16S ribosomal RNA". It matches the Rfam family "Bacterial small subunit ribosomal RNA", at positions 29 to 507 of the family's 1533-position model. The record is from RNAcentral.